This 1445-nucleotide ribosomal RNA is filed under the name Curtobacterium sp. 1097. Its description in RNAcentral is "bacterial SSU rRNA". It matches the Rfam family "Bacterial small subunit ribosomal RNA". The record is from RNAcentral. Lineage: Bacteria; Bacillati; Actinomycetota; Actinomycetes; Micrococcales; Microbacteriaceae.
GACGAACGCUGGCGGCGUGCUUAACACAUGCAAGUCGAACGAUGAUCAGGAGCUUGCUCCUGUGAUUAGUGGCGAACGGGUGAGUAACACGUGAGUAACCUGCCCCUGACUCUGGGAUAAGCGUUGGAAACGACGUCUAAUACUGGAUAUGAUCACUGGCCGCAUGGUCUGGUGGUGGAAAGAUUUUUUGGUUGGGGAUGGACUCGCGGCCUAUCAGCUUGUUGGUGAGGUAAUGGCUCACCAAGGCGACGACGGGUAGCCGGCCUGAGAGGGUGACCGGCCACACUGGGACUGAGACACGGCCCAGACUCCUACGGGAGGCAGCAGUGGGGAAUAUUGCACAAUGGGCGAAAGCCUGAUGCAGCAACGCCGCGUGAGGGAUGACGGCCUUCGGGUUGUAAACCUCUUUUAGUAGGGAAGAAGCGAAAGUGACGGUACCUGCAGAAAAAGCACCGGCUAACUACGUGCCAGCAGCCGCGGUAAUACGUAGGGUGCAAGCGUUGUCCGGAAUUAUUGGGCGUAAAGAGCUCGUAGGCGGUUUGUCGCGUCUGCUGUGAAAUCCCGAGGCUCAACCUCGGGCUUGCAGUGGGUACGGGCAGACUAGAGUGCGGUAGGGGGAGAUUGGAAUUCCUGGUGUAGCGGUGGAAUGCGCAGAUAUCACGAGGAACACCGAUGGCGAAAGCAGAUCUCUGGGCCGUAACUGACGCUGAGGAGCGAAAGCGUGGGGAGCGAACAGGAUUAGAUACCCUGGUAGUCCACGCCGUAAACGUUGGGCGCUAGAUGUAGGGACCUUUCCACGGUUUCUGUGUCGUAGCUAACGCAUUAAGCGCCCCGCCUGGGGAGUACGGCCGCAAGGCUAAAACUCAAAGGAAUUGACGGGGGCCCGCACAAGCGGCGGAGCAUGCGGAUUAAUUCGAUGCAACGCGAAGAACCUUACCAAGGCUUGACAUACACCGGAAACGGCCAGAGAUGGUCGCCCCCUUGUGGUCGGUGUACAGGUGGUGCAUGGUUGUCGUCAGCUCGUGUCGUGAGAUGUUGGGUUAAGUCCCGCAACGAGCGCAACCCUCGUUCUAUGUUGCCAGCGCGUUAUGGCGGGGACUCAUAGGAGACUGCCGGGGUCAACUAGGAGGAAGGUGGGGAUGACGUCAAAUCAUCAUGCCCCUUAUGUCUUGGGCUUCACGCAUGCUACAAUGGCCGGUACAAAGGGCUGCGAUACCGUAAGGUGGAGCGAAUCCCAAAAAGCCGGUCUCAGUUCGGAUUGAGGUCUGCAACUCGACCUCAUGAAGUCGGAGUCGCUAGUAAUCGCAGAUCAGCAACGCUGCGGUGAAUACGUUCCCGGGCCUUGUACACACCGCCCGUCAAGUCAUGAAAGUCGGUAACACCCGAAGCCGGUGGCCUAACCCUUGUGGAAGGAGCCGUCGAAGGUGGGAUCGGUGAUUAGGACU